GUCCCCCAGUCUGAUCCUGGCUCAGAUUGAACGCUGGCGGCAUGCUUUACACAUGCAAGUCGAACGGCAGCACGGGGCAACCUGGUGGCGAGUGGCGAACGGGUGAGUAAUGCAUCGGAACGUGUCCUUAAGUGGGGGAUAACGCACCGAAAGGUGUGCUAAUACCGCAUAAUCUCUACGGAGAAAAGCAGGGGAUCGCAAGACCUUGCGCUUUUGGAGCGGCCGAUGUCUGAUUAGCUAGUUGGUGAGGUAAAGGCUUACCAAGGCGUCGAUCAGUAGCUGGUCUGAGGGGACGACCAGCCACACUGGGACUGAGACACGGCCCAGACUCC
RNAcentral lists this ribosomal RNA (332 nucleotides) under uncultured bacterium. RNAcentral's name for it is "bacterial SSU rRNA". It matches the Rfam family "Bacterial small subunit ribosomal RNA", at positions 1 to 339 of the family's 1533-position model. The record is from RNAcentral.